GCCUUCGUAGUGUAGUGGUUAGACGCGUAAACAAGAAGUCCGUGGUUCGAUUCCCGGCGAAGGCG
RNAcentral lists this transfer RNA (65 nucleotides) under Stegodyphus mimosarum. It matches the Rfam family "tRNA". From Rfam's summary of the family: Transfer RNA (tRNA) molecules are approximately 80 nucleotides in length. Their secondary structure includes four short double-helical elements and three loops (D, anti-codon, and T loops). Lineage: Eukaryota; Metazoa; Arthropoda; Arachnida; Araneae; Eresidae. The record is from Rfam by way of RNAcentral.